AUGUCCAUAUCAUUUUGAAACACCAGUUCCUGUACGAUCACCAAAGUUAAGCAACAUCAAGCCUGGUCAGUACCUAGAUGGGUGACCACUUGGGAAUACCAGGU
This 104-nucleotide ribosomal RNA is filed under the name Acanthosepion pharaonis. The record is from RNAcentral. Lineage: Eukaryota; Metazoa; Mollusca; Cephalopoda; Sepiida; Sepiidae.